CCUGUUUCCCUGCUACGAAUCUGUAAAGCCACGUUGACUGACAUCAUCAGACACUUUGAUGAGAACGGUGCAAAACCCCGCUUGAGGAAAAAGAGCCACCAGCCACAGGAUCCCCAUUUUAUCAGCAGUGAGCAACUCCCCUGAGUUUUGGAGUUCAUAAAGAACUACGCUGAGGAUCACGCCAUCAUGUUGCCUGGUCGACAUCGUGGCCACAGGGAUUGGCAUGUGAAGCUACUGCCAACACAUGUGUCAAAGGGCUCAGUGUGGCGCCGCUAUAUGAAGUCUGCUAAGGAGUUGGUGAGCGUGCAAUUUGCAAAUCAAGUUUCAAGGCGCUUUGGACCCAGCUACUCCCACACAUAAGAAGCUGUAGGCCCCACACUGACCUCUGCUGGCAGCGCCAACAGAAUAAUGACCAGCUUAUAAGAAGUGCAAACCUUCCAGAGGAGAGGAAGACUGCAGCAAUCAAGAAGCAACAGGAUCAUCUUCAGCUUGUUCAAAAAGAGAGGGCCGUCUACAACGAGAUGACUGCUGCCUGCAAAAAGACCUGCGACGACAAUCAGUUGUCCAUCGGCCCCUCCCUACCUUCAAGUAAGAAGAUCAGGAUGGACUACAGCUUUGACUUUGCACAGCAGCUUUGAUGCCAACAGACCUUGUGUGGUCCUAGCUAGGACUCACAGUGACGCAGAGCCUGUUAGCUUUCAGCUGCUGUGUGACCUGGAAGUUCUACCCCCUGUCGUCUGUGGUUCUGCCCUGCCUGCACCUGGACUGUCCACGGACAGACAGACUUAUCUUUAUUCAAAGAUCAGGCCUUUCUGUCCCGAUGAAGCGAAGGACGUUACAUGCCCAGAACCACAAAGCACAACAGAAUAGAACCCAGAAGAGGAUGAUGGUGUGACACUGUGACAUUGGCGUUUUGGCAAUUUGUAAUGUGUAUAAAGUUGUAAAUAAAAAUCACAUUUGUGACAUGAUCAAAGUCAA
Girardinichthys multiradiatus is the source of this 978-nucleotide long non-coding RNA. RefSeq lists it as uncharacterized. The record is from RefSeq and is a predicted model, not a curated record. The transcript has 3 exons. NCBI's taxonomy places the organism in Eukaryota, Metazoa, Chordata, Actinopteri, Cyprinodontiformes, Goodeidae.